This is a non-coding RNA of Ceratotherium simum simum (southern white rhinoceros), 145 nucleotides long. The record is from RefSeq and is a predicted model, not a curated record. NCBI's taxonomy places the organism in Eukaryota, Metazoa, Chordata, Mammalia, Perissodactyla, Rhinocerotidae.
UUCUUCUCUGCAGACUGCCCCCUCUGUCUGCCUUCAACUCUAGUCAUCCUAGUCCUGGCUCUGAUCCAAACUCAUGGGUUUAUAAGUCAAGUCUACCUUAGAUUCACAGUUGGUGGAAAAUAGAACCCAUUAACCUACAAUUGUC